Molecule: transfer RNA, 85 nt
Filed under: Felis catus (domestic cat)
Lineage: Eukaryota; Metazoa; Chordata; Mammalia; Carnivora; Felidae
Also listed under: 1 other name
Rfam family: tRNA
About the family: Transfer RNA (tRNA) molecules are approximately 80 nucleotides in length. Their secondary structure includes four short double-helical elements and three loops (D, anti-codon, and T loops). Further hydrogen bonds mediate the characteristic L-shaped molecular structure. tRNAs have two regions of fundamental functional importance: the anti-codon, which is responsible for specific mRNA codon recognition, and the 3' end, to which the tRNAs corresponding amino acid is attached (by aminoacyl-tRNA synthetases). tRNAs cope with the degeneracy of the genetic code in two manners: having more than one tRNA (with a specific anti-codon) for a particular amino acid; and 'wobble' base-pairing, i.e. permitting non-standard base-pairing at the 3rd anti-codon position.
Source: Rfam by way of RNAcentral
GCCUGGGUGGCUGAGUCGGUUAAGCACCCGACUUCCGCUCAGUUCAUGAUCUCGCGAUUCAUGAGUUCGAGCCCCGCCUCAGGCU